CAGCCGCCGCGGGAACACGUAGGUGGCAAGCGUUGUCCGGAAUUAUUGGGCGUAAAGGGCUCGCAGGCGGUUUCUUAAGUCUGAUGUGAAAGCCCCCGGCUCAACCGGGGAGGGUCAUUGGAAACUGGGAAACUUGAGUGCAGAAGAGGAGAGUGGAAUUCCACGUGUAGCGGUGAAAUGCGUAGAGAUGUGGAGGGACACCAGUGGCGAAGGCGACUCUCUGGUCUGUAACUGACGCUGAGGAGCGAAAGCGUGGGGAGCGAACAGGAUUAGAGACCCCUGUAGUCCCUGUCUCUUAUAC
This 301-nucleotide ribosomal RNA is filed under the name uncultured bacterium. Its description in RNAcentral is "partial 16S ribosomal RNA". It matches the Rfam family "Bacterial small subunit ribosomal RNA", at positions 509 to 807 of the family's 1533-position model. The record is from RNAcentral.